AUUUAAGAACCAAAUGGCCGUAUCUCUUCACACAAAGGCAUAUAUAUGGCCAUUUUGAGAUGCUUACUGACAAAAAAGUGCUCCGACUUUUGUAAUUGUCUAUUCAGGAGGGUGGACCAAAAAUGUUCCAGUUUUUUUUAAAGACAAACCAACUGAGGAAGUUCGGAAUACACUCUCCAGUGGUGAAAAUGUCACUGCUAUGGUCCUACAACUACUACUUGCACACUUCAAAGAGAAAUUAGAUGGUCUUAUCCUUCAGACAGAUGAAUUCGCAGCACCUUCAGAUGUCCAGCAAUCUGUACCUUUGCCAGAGAGUCCACGCCUUAUAAUUCUUGGUCAGUCUCUAAGCAACCAGCGGUGGAUGUUGAGCGUGGAAGGGUAGGUUGUGUGUGAAGGAGAGCAGCCCAACAUUGUAUCUGGUCUUGCAGCACUGUUUGCCUCAUUCUACAAUUUUAACCUCCAGUAUCAGGAAGAGGCAGCAUGCACCUUGAGUUUUGUUCAGAGACGCUUUCUCGACAUCAACCCGGAACGUGGAUCAGAAACCAAGAAAGGGAAGGUGACUUCAAAGAAGACUGGCCAAGUUGUGCAAAAAAAGAACACUACUGUGA
Long non-coding RNA from Sinocyclocheilus grahami, 608 nucleotides. RefSeq lists it as uncharacterized. Lineage: Eukaryota; Metazoa; Chordata; Actinopteri; Cypriniformes; Cyprinidae. The transcript is spliced from 4 exons. The record is from RefSeq and is a predicted model, not a curated record.